GCAGUGGGGAAUAUUGGACAAUGGGCGCAAGCCUGAUCCAGCAAUGCCGCGUGUGUGAAGAAGGCCCUCGGGUUGUAAAGCACUUUUAUCAGGAGCGAAAUCUGCAAGGUUAAUACCUUUGCAGUCUGACGGUACCUGAGGAAUAAGCACCGGCUAACUCCGUGCCAGCAGCCGCGGUAAUACGGAGGGUGCAAGCGUUAAUCGGAAUUACUGGGCGUAAAGCGUGCGUAGGCGGUUCGUUAAGUCUGUUGUGAAAGCCCCGGGCUCAACCUGGGAAUGGCAAUGGAUACUGGCGAGCUAGAGUGUGUCAGAGGAUGGUGGAAUUCCCGGUGUAGCGGUGAAAUGCGUAGAGAUCGGGAGGAACAUCAGUGGCGAAGGCGGCCAUCUGGGACAACACUGACGCUGAGGCACGAAAGCGUGGGGAGCAAACAGGAUUAGA
Molecule: ribosomal RNA, 439 nt
Filed under: uncultured bacterium
Lineage: Bacteria
Description: bacterial SSU rRNA
Rfam family: Bacterial small subunit ribosomal RNA
Source: RNAcentral